Molecule: long non-coding RNA, 3300 nt
Organism: Pecten maximus
Lineage: Eukaryota; Metazoa; Mollusca; Bivalvia; Pectinida; Pectinidae
Exons: 2
Source: RefSeq, a predicted model, not a curated record
AAUGAGGUCUGUGACAAGAUACAUAUAUAUGUAAUUAUCUAAAAGUUACACAAGUCAAAGAGUUGAUUUACAUGUUUAAGGCAACUUAAUGCUUCCGGCAUUACCAUUUAGAAAGACUAACUGGUGACAAGAUUCAGUUUAGUCUACAACACUUGACCUGUAUGAUCAGCUAUUGGUUAAACUCUAACAAAAGAACCAGAGGUCAUGAAUUUUGUAUAGUUACAGAACGCAGCAGGCAAGAUAUACAAAAGUCGUCAUUUACACAGAGUGGUAAACCGCUGGAACAUCCUAUCAACCAAGGUCGUGAAUGGUAAACCGCUGGAACACCCUAACAAACAAGGUCGUGAAUGGUAAACUGCUGGAAUACCCUACCAAACAAGGUCGUGAAUGGUAAACCGCUGGAACACCCUACCAAACAAGGUCGUGAAUGGUAAACUGCUGGAACACCCUAACAAACAAGGUCGUGAAUGGUAAACUGCUGGAAUACCCUAACAAACAAGGUCGUGAAUGCACCAACCCUACAAACAUAGGGAAUAGACUUGAUAGACAUCAGGUAAACAUUAAUUUAUGUGAUAACUACAAGGCUGACAUAAACCAUACCCAGAGAGAUGUCGUAGUCGGUCCUGGACAAGGAUCUUGAUAUCGAGGUCUAACAAUCUGUGUCCUGUACACAUCUGUGUAAGUAAAGCCUUAAAACAAGUCGGACAGUUAAUUCCAUCAGUUAUCCUUCCUUUAUCAUAUAUAUAUAUAUCUAAUAUGCUUUCUCGGUUCCCCUCUACAAACUCUGCCUAAUUACCUUUUUCAUAUAGAAAAAUAAAUAUGCAAAUCAUGAGUUUUUCAGGCUGUUUAAAAAUAUAAUUUAUUUCAAGGUCAAUAGGAAUAUCCUUGUUUUGUAGAUGUUUAUUUGAAUGGAAGCUAUAAGUAUUUGAAUAAACAUCUUAAUGACAUGUUUUGAAAAUCGUCCCUAUGUUGCAUGGCAAAUAAUUAUGUAGUAGUUUUUUUUUUAGAUUUAAAAAAAUGUAUUUGAUACAGUACUAAGGCUGCAGGCAUGCCAAUAAGUAUAGGUAAGUGUAGCAAUCUAUCUCACAGGUCUAACAAACUAUAGAGUAACUUUUAUCUACUGGUAUCAUUGUGCCUAUAAUGUUAGAGACCACCUGUCUGCAAGAAAAAAUACAUUCAUAACAUUGCACAUAUUACAAAAUAAAUACAACAUAAUUUUAUUACAAUCAGCAGAUCUAGAUUUAGCAAUGAGGUGCUCCACAGGGACUUGCUACAUACUCCCAACACAUAAUCUUUAUAUUGUAUCUUAUGAUACAUAUAAUCAUGGGUUGAAAUUUGUGCCAAGUCCCUGUGUUCUCUAUAUCAUUGAUGUAUAAAGACCUACUCACUGAUACACUUUGAUAAUGUUGUGAUUGAAAACAGCCUUUUACUGUAUGACAUAUAAAGAUGUACUGGUGCAUCAGGGCUAUUUGUCUAUUAAAAUUGUUUACUUUUUAUCCCACAGACAAGUUUGAAUGAAACAAGGGUCACUAAGGCAGGUUAAACUGUGUAAGUAGAAUGGAUGUACAUGUACAUGGAAUAAUUACUUGAAUACAAAAGAAGAUACUUCCCUUAGAAAAAUCAUAAGGAUAUUCUUCUUUAAACAUUAACCAAAAUUAACAAUAAUGAGUACAGUAUUAUGUAAAUAGAUUGAAAAGAGGAAAGUUAAAUUUUUUUUUUUAUUUUGUCGAAUUCAUUCUUUGAUUUUCAAUCUGAAUGAUAGCGAGACAUUUAUGAUCAUACACUGUUGUAUGGACAUUUGUUUACCCACUAUGGUAUCAACUUUUAUGCAAUUUGCUGAAAUUUCAUUGAGAAAAUUUAUAUUUAAUUAUUUAAUAAUGUUCCUUGCAAUUCAAACCCAUAACCGAGUAUGACUAUGAUGGAUUGCGAAUAGAUGCAAGUUUUAUAGGGUAUAAUUAUGGAGAUGUAUUUCCUUUUUUCACAGCUAAUGAAUGGUCAUGAUUAAAAAGAUCUUGUUCAAAGGAAAAUCUUAUGGAAGACAGUAACCACAGAAAGGCAUUACGUUGUACUAACAGUGGUAAAAUUAAUGUCUCAGCGUGAUUCUCAGGGUAAAUAUAGAGAUAUCUGUGUGGAUUACAUGAUCUAUUGAAUUACCCACAAACACACACACACCCUCACACAAUAUUUUGAUUAUCUCACUUCAAUAGCACAAACACGUAUAUUAAGUUAAGAUUGAAGCAUUAACAACUGACCAGUCUUCACAAAACAAAGAAAACAAAUCUGUUAUUGCACAAAUUAAACUAAGCACAGUAUGAUCCUCAUUUCUAUAAAGUCACAACAGACAUAUGGGUAUACAAAGCCUUGGUAUACACAUCACCAUUUCAGUCCUACACACAGAGAUAAUUUCACUCGCCCUGACAAUUUAAUUAUCCCUUAAUGUAACAUUAAAGUAGAGAAGUCUUCAGUAUCACUCAAUAUCCUACACUAAAUAUCAUACCAUGUAUAUUUAUAGGACAUCAUAUGGCUGUGCUUUGUCAUCAUUUUUUUUGUUUAUCUGAAUGUAUUUCUUUGCUGAAAAUGGUCUGGUGAAUACUAUACAGGUAUUUUCAUGAAAAUUUGAUUUCAUGAAUUUCUUUGCUGAAAAUGGUCUGGUGAAUACUAUACAGGUAUUUUCAUGAAAAUUUGAUUUCAUGAAUUUGUUUCAAUGAAAUCAAUAAAAAACAAAAUUAACAGAAAAGAAAUUUAGAAAUCACUUGGGACUUCAAUUCACAUCAAUGAAUCGGACAUGUUUUCAUAUCAUAUUGAUAAAUCCAAAAUUAAUUGAAAAUAAAUCUGCUGCAACAAUUUUUCAGAAAGUAAUUUUGUGUUCUAGGAACUUUAUAGUGUGAUGUAUGACUAAUAAGGUAGUGAUCAUGAGAGUGUAAAUUGUAAUGUAUCUAUCAGUAUGAGUAGUAUGGUGGCAUUCAUGAGAGUGUAAAUUGUAAUGUAUCUAUCAGUAUGAGUAGUAUGGUGACAUUCAUGAGAGUGUAAAUUGUAAUGUAUCUAUCAGUAUGAGUAGUAUGGUGGCAUUCAUGAGAGUGUAAACUUUAACAUAUCUAUUGGUGUGAGUGGUAAGGUGGCAUUCAUGGGACUGUAAACUGUAAUGUAUGACUAGUAAUAUAUAAUGUUCAUGGAACUGUAUACUGUAUUGUAUGAUUAGCAAUGUUGGGUUAUUUGGACAGUACAUUUUUUGUUUACGGCAAUGUAUGACUAGAUCUAUGGCAUUCAUUAAACUGUAAUGCAUGAUUGAAAUGAUAUAAA